GACGGAGGGGGCAAGCGUUGUUCGGAAUUAUUGGGCGUAAAGGGCUCGUAGGCGGACCUGCCAGUCUGACGUGAAAUCUCCACCGCUCACCGGGGAGGGUGCGUUGGAUACUACAGGUCUUGAGUGUAGCAGAGGUUCGUGGAAUUCCGGGUGUAGCGGUAAAAUGCGUAGAUAUCCGGAGGAACACCAGUGGCGAAGGCGGCGAACUGGGUUACUACUGACGCUGAGGAGCGAAAGCCAGGGGAGCAAACGGG
Molecule: ribosomal RNA, 254 nt
Filed under: uncultured bacterium
Lineage: Bacteria
Description: partial 16S ribosomal RNA
Rfam family: Bacterial small subunit ribosomal RNA
Source: RNAcentral